AUUGAACGCUGGCGGCAUGCUUUACACAUGCAAGUCGAACGGUAACAGGCCUUCGGGUGCUGACGAGUGGCGAACGGGUGAGUAAUGCAUCGGAACGUGCCCAAUCGUGGGGGAUAACGUAGCGAAAGUUACGCUAAUACCGCAUAAGCCCUGAGGGGGAAAGCAGGGGAUCGCAAGACCUUGCGCGAAUGGAGCGGCCGAUGUCAGAUUAGCUAGUUGGUGGGGUAAAGGCCUACCAAGGCGACGAUCUGUAGCGGGUCUGAGAGGAUGAUCCGCCACACUGGGACUGAGACACGGCCCAGACUCCUACGGGAGGCAGCAGUGGGGAAUUUUGGACAAUGGGCGCAAGCCUGAUCCAGCCAUGCCGCGUGCGGGAAGAAGGCC
RNAcentral lists this ribosomal RNA (384 nucleotides) under uncultured bacterium. Its description in RNAcentral is "bacterial SSU rRNA". It matches the Rfam family "Bacterial small subunit ribosomal RNA", at positions 29 to 416 of the family's 1533-position model. The record is from RNAcentral.